AGCUUCAGCACAAUGGACCAUGCCCACCCCACCAAUCCACAUUGGUUACUGUCCAUCUUCUCACUAAUUCUGUUGAUCUUUGUCAUUGGAGAGAGAGAUUGUGCAGGUACAAGCAAAGGGCUUACAAAGGGAGGCCUCUCAGACAUAGUAGCAGUCUCUCCCCCUGAACGGCAACCACUGCUCCCCAGCCUUUGGAGUCCCAUCAGACAUACGGCACCACGAGAAAGAUCCUCCCAUGAUUCGAAUGGGCCUCCUUCCAAGACACCUGUAGCUCUCCAUUUCUAUUAUCAUGAUUAAUGUGCCAACAAUACACAACCCUAACCACUGCAUAAACCAGCCUGUCGUGGAGAAGGGGGGAAAAGAGACCCCAAAACCGAAACCAAAACAAAAGAUGAUUUGGUUCACGUGCAUUCUCAUGAGAAGGAAAAUAAAUGAGUGAAUCAGCAAAGAUACCCUACGAGUGUAUCGCUGAACUUGGCACAAGCUGACAACCGGUGAUUGAUGACUGGGUGAGUGGAUUAAUGACUAGAUCCGUGGAGGGGAUCUCUGUGAAGUCGGGUGGAACCUUCACCUCCAUACCCACGGCAUCUUGCAAGGUGCCCAGCACACAACAGGUCGCUCAAUAAAUG
Orcinus orca (killer whale) is the source of this 629-nucleotide long non-coding RNA. RefSeq lists it as uncharacterized. Lineage: Eukaryota; Metazoa; Chordata; Mammalia; Artiodactyla; Delphinidae. The transcript has 4 exons. The record is from RefSeq and is a predicted model, not a curated record.